CUCAAGUAUUCUUUCUUUUGCAUGUCAAAGUGCCAUUGUUCCCCCUUUAUCUUUGAGGUGGUGUUAUAGCGUUCCUGUUAGUGGAGGAUUCUCGAAGAGAAUUUAUUUCAAGAAUGAGAUAUUUAAAUCCACCAAUUCUUUGAUCAUGAGAUUUUUUCAACCCAUCUUUUCUACCAUUGAGCUAGCUUAUUUUGGAUUACACAUAAAGCUUUUCCUAAGGGUUAUUGCUGUUAUGGUGAUUAUCGUUAACCCAAGUUCUCAAUAUAUCUUCUUGGUGUAAGAAGUUGUGCAUAUCUUGUUGUUGGGUAACGUCGCAUGGGAAACAAAAAUUUUCCUACGCGCACGAAGACCUAUCAUGGUGAUGUCCAUCUACGAGAGGGGAUGUGUGAUCUACGUACCCUUGUAGAC
RNAcentral lists this long non-coding RNA (408 nucleotides) under Hordeum vulgare. RNAcentral describes it as "long non-coding RNA (HVUL_LNC009722)". The record is from RNAcentral. Lineage: Eukaryota; Viridiplantae; Streptophyta; Magnoliopsida; Poales; Poaceae.